CAAUAGCGUAUAUUAAAGUUGUUGCGGUUAAAAAGCUCGUAGUUGGAUUUCUGCUGAGGACGACCGGUCCGCCCUCCGGGUGAGCAUCUGGUUCGGCCUUGGCAUCUUCUUGGUGAACGUAUCUGCACUUGACUGUGUGGUGCGGUACCCAGGACUUUUACUUUGAGGAAAAUAGAGUGUUCAAAGCAGGCUUAUGCCGUUGAAUAUAUUAGCAUGGAAUAAUAAGAUAUGACUUUGGUCUAUUUUGUUGGUUUGCACUCCAAAGUAAUGAUUAAUAGGGAUAGUUGGGGGUAUUCGUAUUCAAGUGUCAGAGGUGAAAUUCUUGGAUUUCUGGAAGACGAACUACUGCGAAAGCAUUUACCAAGGAUGUUUUCAUUAAUCAAGAACGAAAGUUAGGGGAUCGAAGACGAUCAGAUACCGU
This 421-nucleotide ribosomal RNA is filed under the name uncultured eukaryote. RNAcentral describes it as "bacterial SSU rRNA". It matches the Rfam family "Eukaryotic small subunit ribosomal RNA", at positions 592 to 1018 of the family's 1831-position model. The record is from RNAcentral.